CCUACGGGCGGCAGCAGUGGGGAAUAUUGGACAAUGGGGGCAACCCUGAUCCAGCCAUGCCGCGUGUGUGAAGAAGGCCCUCGGGUUGUAAAGCACUUUCAGUGAGGAAGAACGCCUGGUGGUUAAUACCCAUCAGGAAAGACAUCACUCACAGAAGAAGCACCGGCUAACUCCGUGCCAGCAGCCGCGGUAAUACGGAGGGUGCGAGCGUUAAUCGGAAUUACUGGGCGUAAAGCGCGCGUAGGUGGCUUGAUAAGCCGGUUGUGAAAGCCCCGGGCGCAACCUGGGAACGGCAGCCGGAACUGUCAAGCUAGAGUGCAGGAGAGGAAGGUAGAAUUCCCGGUGUAGCGGUGAAAUGCGUAGAGAUCGGGAGGAAUACCAGUGGCGAAGGCGGCCUUCUGGACUGACACUGACACUGAGGUGCGAAAGCGUGGGUAGCAAACAGGAUUAGAUACCCCGGUAGUC
RNAcentral lists this ribosomal RNA (465 nucleotides) under Vreelandella stevensii. RNAcentral's name for it is "partial 16S ribosomal RNA". It matches the Rfam family "Bacterial small subunit ribosomal RNA", at positions 338 to 795 of the family's 1533-position model. The record is from RNAcentral. Lineage: Bacteria; Pseudomonadati; Pseudomonadota; Gammaproteobacteria; Oceanospirillales; Halomonadaceae.